This 1241-nucleotide ribosomal RNA is filed under the name metagenome. RNAcentral describes it as "bacterial LSU rRNA". It matches the Rfam family "Bacterial large subunit ribosomal RNA", at positions 1564 to 2815 of the family's 2925-position model. The record is from RNAcentral.
UGAUGACGAGACGCUAAGGCGUUGAAGCAGUGUAUGUCAGACUUCCAAGAAAAGCUCGCAAUGUCACAAAUAAAGAAUGCCUGUACCAUAACCGACACAGGUGGGUAGGUAGAGUAUACUAAGGGGCGCGAGAUAACUCUCUCUAAGGAACUCGGCAAAUGACUCCGUAACUUCGGGAGAAGGAGUGCCUUAUUUAUAAGGUUGCAAUAACAAGAUCCAAGCAACUGUUUAUCAAAAACACAGGUCUCCGCUAAGUCGUAAGACGAUGUAUGGGGGCUGACGCCUGCCCAGUGCCAGAAGGUUAAAGAAGUUGGUUAGUGUAUGCGAAGCUGAUGACUGAAGCCCUGGUGAACGGCGGCCGUAACAAUAACGGUCCUAAGGUAGCGAAAUUCCUUGUCGGGUAAGUUCCGACCCGCACGAAAGGCGUAAUGAUUUGGAUACUGUCUCGGAGAGAGGCUUGGUGAAAUAGACUUGUCUGUGAAGAUGCGGACUACCUGCACCAGGACAGAAAGACCCUAUGAAGCUUUACUGUAACUUGAAAUUGGAAUUGGACUUUGCUUGCGCAGUAUAGGUGGGAAGCGUUGAAAAUAUUCUUGCGGGAGUAUUGGAGCUAUCAGUGAGAUACCACUCUUGUAAUGUUAGAUUUCUAACUUUGAACCAUAAUCUGGUCAAAGAACAGUUUCAGGUGGGCAGUUUGACUGGGGCGGUCGCCUCCCAAAUGGUAACGGAGGCGUACAAAGGUUUCCUCUGAACGGAUAGAAAUCGUAUCUAGAGUGUAAAGGCAUAAGGAAGCUUGACUGUGAGACCUACAAGUCGAGCAGGGACGAAAGUCGGUCUUAGUGAUCUGACGGUACUGAGUGGAAAGGCCGUCACUCAACGGAUAAAAGUUACUCUAAGGAUAACAGGCUGAUCUCCCCCAAGAGUUCACAUCGACGGGGAGGUUUGGCACCUCGAUGUCGGCUCAUCUCAUCCUGGGGCGGUAGUACGUCCCAAGGGUUGGGCUGUUCGCCCAUGAAAGCGGUACGCGAGCUGGGUUCAGAACGUCGUGAGACAGUUCGGUCCAUAUCCGGUGUAGGCGCUAGAAUAUUGAGAGGAGCCUUCUUUAGUACGAGAGGACCGAGAAGGACACACCGCUGGUGUACCAGUUAUCGUGCCAACGGUAAACGCUGGGUAGCUAUGUGUGGAGUGGAUAACCGCUGAAAGCAUCUAAGUGGGAAGCCCACCUCGAGAUGAGUAUUCUC